UAUGUAGGGGGCAAGCGUUGUCCGGAAUCAUUGGGCGUAAAGCGCGUGUAGGCGGCCAGAAAAGUCCGCUGUGAAAACUCGAGGCUCAACUUCGAGCUGUCGGUGGAAACUUUCUGGCUAGAGUCCGGAAGAGGAGAAUGGAAUUCCUGGUGUAGCGGUGAAAUGCGCAGAUAUCAGGAAGAACACCCGUGGCGAAGGCGGUUCUCUGGGACGGUACUGACGCUGAGACGCGAAAGCGUGGGGAGCGAACAGG
RNAcentral lists this ribosomal RNA (253 nucleotides) under uncultured bacterium. Its description in RNAcentral is "partial 16S ribosomal RNA". It matches the Rfam family "Bacterial small subunit ribosomal RNA", at positions 524 to 776 of the family's 1533-position model. The record is from RNAcentral.